UCGAGGAUCUUCCGCAAUGGGCGCAAGCCUGACGGAGCGACGCCGCGUGUGGGAUGAAGGCCUUCGGGUUGUAAACCACUGUCACUCGUUAAGAAAGGGUCCGGCGUCAACAGCGUCGGGCACUGACGAAGGCGAGAGAGGAAGCCACGGCUAACUUCGUGCCAGCAGCCGCGGUAAGACGAAGGUGGCGAGCGUUGUUCGGAAUCACUGGGCAUAAAGCGCACGUAGGCGGUGCCGUAAGUCGGGUGUGAAAUCCCUCGGCCUAACCGAGGAACUGCGCCUGAUACUGCGGUGCUUGAGGACCAGAGGGGUGCAUGGAAUUUCCGGUGGAGCGGUGAAAUGCGUUGAUAUCGGAAGGAACUCCGGCGGCGAAAGCGAUGCACUGGCUGGUUUCUGACGCUGAGGUGCGAAAGCCAGGGGAGCAAACGGG
This 430-nucleotide ribosomal RNA is filed under the name bacterium. Its description in RNAcentral is "partial 16S ribosomal RNA". It matches the Rfam family "Bacterial small subunit ribosomal RNA", at positions 355 to 776 of the family's 1533-position model. The record is from RNAcentral.